RNAcentral lists this ribosomal RNA (253 nucleotides) under uncultured bacterium. RNAcentral's name for it is "partial 16S ribosomal RNA". It matches the Rfam family "Bacterial small subunit ribosomal RNA", at positions 524 to 776 of the family's 1533-position model. The record is from RNAcentral.
UACAGAGGGUGCGAGCGUUAAUCGGAAUUACUGGGCGUAAAGCGUGCGUAGGCGGCCCCGUAAGUCCGCUGUGAAAGUCAAAGGCUCAACCUUUGAAAGCCGGUGGAUACUGUGGGGCUAGAGUACGGAAGAGGCGAGUGGAAUUCCUGGUGUAGCGGUGGAAUGCGCAGAUAUCAGGAGGAACACCAAUAGCGAAGGCAGCUCGCUGGGACGUUACUGACGCUGAGGCGCGAAAGCGUGGGGAGCGAACAGG